This 387-nucleotide ribosomal RNA is filed under the name uncultured bacterium. RNAcentral describes it as "bacterial SSU rRNA". It matches the Rfam family "Bacterial small subunit ribosomal RNA", at positions 29 to 416 of the family's 1533-position model. The record is from RNAcentral.
AUUGAACGCUGGCGGCGUGCUUAACACAUGCAAGUCGUGCGGUAACAGGCGUAGCAAUACGUGCUGACGAGCGGCGAACGGGUGCGUAAUACAUGGGAAUCUGCCCUUUAGUGGGGAAUAACCCGGCGAAAGCCGGGCUAAUGCCGCAUAAGAUCUUCGGAUGAAAGCGGGGGAUCGUAAGACCUCGCGCUGAUGGAUGAGCCCAUGUCGGAUUAGCCAGUGGUGAGGUAACGGCUCACCAAGGCGACGAUCCGUAGCUGGUCUGAGAGGACGGCCAGCCACACUGGGACUGAGACACGGCCCAGACUCCUACGGGAGGCAGCAGUGGGGAAUAUUGGACAAUGGGCGAAAGCCUGAUCCAGCGACGCCGCGUGUGUGAAGAAGGCC